GAUGAAGAACGCAGCGAAAUGUGAUAAGUAGUGUGAAUUGCAGAAUUCAGUGAAUCAUCGAAUCUUUGAACGCACAUUGCGCCCCUUGGUAUCCCGAGGGGCAUGCCUGUUCGAGCGUCAUUUCACCACUCAAGCCUGGCUUGGUGUUGGGCGACGUCCCCUUUGGGGACGCGCCUCGAAACGCUCGGCGGCGUGGCACCGGCUUUAAGCGUAGCAGAAUCUUUCGCUUUGGAAGUCGGGGCCCCGUCUGCCGGAAGACCUACUCGCAAGGUUGACCUCGGAUCAGGCAGGGAUACCCGCUGAACUUAAGCAUAUCAAUAAGCGGAGGA
RNAcentral lists this unclassified non-coding RNA (329 nucleotides) under soil metagenome. Its description in RNAcentral is "partial contains 5.8S ribosomal RNA, internal transcribed spacer 2, and large subunit ribosomal RNA". The stretch from base 1 to 120 matches the Rfam family "5.8S ribosomal RNA", at positions 35 to 154 of the family's 154-position model. The record is from RNAcentral.